This 253-nucleotide ribosomal RNA is filed under the name uncultured bacterium. Its description in RNAcentral is "partial 16S ribosomal RNA". It matches the Rfam family "Bacterial small subunit ribosomal RNA", at positions 524 to 776 of the family's 1533-position model. The record is from RNAcentral.
UACGAAGGGUGCUAGCGUUGUUCGGAAUUACUGGGCGUAAAGCGCGCGUAGGCGGCUCCGCAAGUCAGAGGUGAAAUCCCUGGGCUCAACCCAGGAAUUGCCUUUGAAACUGCAGAGCUAGAGUGUCGGAGGGGAUAGCGGAAUUCCUAAUGUAGAGGUGAAAUUCGUAGAUAUUAGGAGGAACACCGGUGGCGAAGGCGGCUAUCUGGACGACAACUGACGCUGAGGCGCGAAAGCACGGGGAUCAAACAGG